This is a long non-coding RNA of Lates calcarifer (barramundi perch), 682 nucleotides long. RefSeq lists it as uncharacterized. The record is from RefSeq and is a predicted model, not a curated record. The transcript is spliced from 3 exons. Lineage: Eukaryota; Metazoa; Chordata; Actinopteri; Centropomidae.
CUUCAUCUUCUUCUGCUCAUCAGAGGGCGGGUCGCGGUGGCAACAGGCUGAGCAGAGUAUUCCAGACAUCCCUCUCCCCGGCAGCGUUUUCCAGCUCCUCCUGAGGGAUUCCAAGGCGUUCCCAGGCCAGAUGAGAGGAACUUCUUCCUCCCGGAGAGAGUGAAGGGACACGCGGCUAUCACACUUCCUCCCUCAGUGCGGAUGAAUGUGUUUGCAUUGGCGAGUCCGGUGUUUCCAUCACAAAGUGCUGUUAAUAAGAUGAAGAGUGAAUACUGAUGAUCGGUACUGUCUUCAGUAGAGCACAUACUACAGCAUAGCAAAAGUCAUUGCAGAAGCUGAUGCGAAGAGUCAGCAGAGUCACCUCCACCAUCAGUUCCCCUCUUUGUCUUCCAUUUGUAAAGCGACAGAAGAAAAACCGCUGACAGCACAACACCAACCACCAUCACACACACGCCUGCAACCACAGGGUAAACUGAGUGAGACAAAGGAGAGAGAGAGGGAGGGAUGGAGUUGUGUAAAUCUAACUUUGGUCUGAUUAAAUAAAAAACUGAGAGCUUUUGGAAAUACUGGUAAAAUGCUUCUUGACUUGUCACAUUAACAUCAUAUAUUUAACUUAAUUUUUUUUGCAAAGAUUUGUCUCUGAAAAUAAGUGUCUCUGCAGAAGGACCCCAAACUGACAACA